RNAcentral lists this ribosomal RNA (326 nucleotides) under uncultured eukaryote. RNAcentral's name for it is "partial 18S ribosomal RNA". It matches the Rfam family "Eukaryotic small subunit ribosomal RNA", at positions 1470 to 1796 of the family's 1831-position model. The record is from RNAcentral.
CCCUUAGAUGUUCUGGGCCGCACGCGCGCUACACUGAUGCAUUCAACGAGUUUUACCUUGGCCGAGAGGCCUGGGCAAUCUUUUAAACCUGCAUCGUGAUAGGGAUAGAUUAUUGCAAUUAUUAAUCUUGAACGAGGAAUUCCUAGUAAACGCGAAUCAUCAAUUCGCAUUGAUUACGUCCCUGCCCUUUGUACACACCGCCCGUCGCUACUACUGAUUGGAUGUUUAAGCGAGGUUCUCGAACUGCUAGCGACUUAGCUUCGGUGAGGUCGCAGUGUGGGAAGUGAACCUAGCUUUGGUGUCUAGAGGAAGUAAAAGUCGUAACA